Heterocephalus glaber (naked mole-rat) is the source of this 269-nucleotide non-coding RNA. NCBI's taxonomy places the organism in Eukaryota, Metazoa, Chordata, Mammalia, Rodentia, Bathyergidae. The record is from RefSeq and is a predicted model, not a curated record.
CAGAGUCCAGCCUUCACCAAAAAAUUGAACUUACCUGAGCUUUGAUCUUGUAGUCUCUAGAACUGCAGGGACUUAGAAGCCAUUUCUGCUAUGAACCUUGACUUCACUUGGUCUUACAGAUGUCCAACAGGGAAGGUGGAGUCCCACCCAACGAAGACUGCCUUAGACAGGGAUAAUCCUUUCUUGGAAAUUCGACCACCCCUCAGCCAAAAGGAGUUUGGCACCAGGAGUGAAAGAAUGAGCAGCCGGACCCCAGGUUGACUAGCUCA